Molecule: small RNA, 421 nt
Filed under: Pan troglodytes (chimpanzee)
Lineage: Eukaryota; Metazoa; Chordata; Mammalia; Primates; Hominidae
Description: processed transcript
Source: RNAcentral
UCUCGCAGCCAGGCGGGUCCUGGGAGAGGCGCGAGCCAGGCCUGGUCGGCGCCCGCGGAGAAAAGAAGCAGUCAAGCCCAUGAACUACAACCCCGGUUGCCGCUUUCUCCUCUCCUAACCGUUAAGUGCGCUAAGGGCCAUGGCUGAGGUGCACGUGAUCGGGCAGAUCAUGGGGGCCAGCGGUUUCUCGGAAAGUAGCCUCUUCUGCAAGUGGGGCAUUCACACAGGGAGUUGCUGGGGAUGUUGAUCCAGCCAAGAAUACUGAGGCAGUUGGAUGAAAGGCUUGGGCUCUGCAGUUAGAGCUGAGUCUGAAUCCAGUCCCAUGAUGGGACCUUGGUCUGCUAUAGUCACUGCUAUGUCACCAGCAUGGAAAACAGUGCUUGGCACAUAGCAGGUGCUGAAUAAAUGUUCAUGAACUCAC